GCUCUGUGGAUCAGUGGCGAACGGGUGAGUAACACGUGAGCAAUCUGCCCCUGACUCUGGGAUAAGCGCUGGAAACGGCGUCUAAUACCGGAUACGAGCUGCGAAGGCAUCUUCAGCAGCUGGAAAGAAUUUCGGUCAGGGAUGAGCUCGCGGCCUAUCAGCUUGUUGGUGAGGUAACGGCUCACCAAGGCGUCGACGGGUAGCCGGCCUGAGAGGGUGACCGGCCACACUGGGACUGAGACACGGCCCAGACUCCUACGGGAGGCAGCAGUGGGGAAUAUUGCACAAUGGGCGAAAGCCUGAUGCAGCAACGCCGCGUGAGGGACGACGGCCUUCGGGUUGUAAACCUCUUUUAGCAGGAAAGAAGCGAAAGUGACGGUACCUGCAGAAAAAGCGCCGGCUAACUACGUGCCAGCAGCCGCGGUAAUACGUAGGGCGCAAGCGUUAUCCGGAAUUAUUGGGCGUAAAGAGCUCGUAGGCGGUCUGUCGCGUCUGCUGUGAAAACCCGAGGCUCAACCUCGGGCCUGCAGUGGGUACGGGCAGACUAGAGUGCGGUAGGGGAGAUUGGAAUUCCUGGUGUAGCGGUGGAAUGCGCAGAU
Molecule: ribosomal RNA, 599 nt
Filed under: Microbacterium schleiferi
Lineage: Bacteria; Bacillati; Actinomycetota; Actinomycetes; Micrococcales; Microbacteriaceae
Description: bacterial SSU rRNA
Rfam family: Bacterial small subunit ribosomal RNA
Source: RNAcentral